Molecule: non-coding RNA, 75 nt
Organism: Podarcis lilfordi (Lilford's wall lizard)
Lineage: Eukaryota; Metazoa; Chordata; Lepidosauria; Squamata; Lacertidae
Source: the annotation of a GenBank genome assembly
GGAAGUGCCAUAGCUUGGUGGCAGAGCAUCUGCUUGGCAUGUAGAAGGUUGCAGGUUCUAUUCCCGGCAUCUCCA